Molecule: ribosomal RNA, 230 nt
Filed under: uncultured bacterium
Lineage: Bacteria
Description: partial 16S ribosomal RNA
Rfam family: Bacterial small subunit ribosomal RNA
Source: RNAcentral
AAAGCGCACGUAGGCGGCUUUGUAAGUUAGAGGUGAAAGCCUGGAGCUCAACUCCAGAAUUGCCUUUAAGACUGCAUCGCUUGAAUCCAGGAGAGGUGAGUGGAAUUCCGAGUGUAGAGGUGAAAUUCGUAGAUAUUCGGAAGAACACCAGUGGCGAAGGCGGCUCACUGGACUGGUAUUGACGCUGAGGUGCGAAAGCGUGGGGAGCAAACAGGAUUAGAUACCCCAGU